This is a small nucleolar RNA of Nycticebus coucang (slow loris), 101 nucleotides long. RefSeq annotates it as small nucleolar RNA U13. The record is from RefSeq and is a predicted model, not a curated record. The transcript has a single exon. Lineage: Eukaryota; Metazoa; Chordata; Mammalia; Primates; Lorisidae.
AUCCUUCUGGAGUUCAUGGGCAUGCUGUUUGGGUUUUCAUGCGUACUUAUGAGAUGUGCCUCCCUUGGGUCUUGUAACGUCAGCCCGUUAUCCAUCAAACA